UGCAAGACAAAAACCUGCUUAAAGCUUGGCUUGUGAAACUUGGAACCGGUAAAGAGCCACCGCCUAUAUCUCGGGUAUGCAGCGAGCACCGACGCGAGGAAGAUUUCUGAUACGGCGUCAGGACUACGAUGUUCGGUAAGCAGCUCCUCCUGGCUGACAUGCUGUCACAUGCCACAACCAAGACAACGGCCUGCGACCUCGACAGCAACGAUGUAAAGGUACAUGCCGGCACAAAAGCGGCGUGGCAGAAGACAAAGAAACCCCUUUGAAAAACGCUAUACGAAGCAUUCCGUGCCCUCUGUGAACCUGACGCGAAUACCAUAGAA
Molecule: long non-coding RNA, 326 nt
Organism: Dermacentor albipictus
Lineage: Eukaryota; Metazoa; Arthropoda; Arachnida; Ixodida; Ixodidae
Source: RefSeq, a predicted model, not a curated record